UUCUUUCACAGUUGAGGUACGACUUCUCCGGUCUUGGAAGGCGAGGAACGUGAAAAGCUUUGGCAAGUUGAUGGGUGUGGCGACUUAUUACGUUCUUUAAACUCAUGAUCAUUAAAAUUAUUCCAGCGUUUUAACUUAAAUUAUCAAGCUAUUGUGUUCAUAUCUUUAUUGAACCUCUUUUGAAUGAGAAAAGUUGGUUGAUUACCUUUCUAUCUUCUUCUCUCUCAGUAUAGAUCAACAUCAAACCGGAGUCAUCACCAACACGAGUUACGCCGGAGCAGGAUCCAGUGUCGGUCGUUGCGAACCGAAGAUCUUGAACAUCAUGUGAUGUUGGACGAGGAUUUAGUAGACCGUUCUUGAGUCAGGUGACAGAGACCGCUCCUGGGAUUCUAGACUUCUCACUUCAGUGGAAAUAAUACAAAGAGAUGAUGGAGUUGGUGGUGGAAUCUGUAAGGAAACAAUCUUUGGAGCUGCAGGAGAAAAAAAAGAUUCUGAUUUGAAACAGCCUUUGGAAGCACAAUUAAUGAGAGAAAUCACACCUCUUUAUUGGCAUGAAGCUUUAACGUUUUCAUUUAAACAGGAAAGCACAACUAUCUUGGAGGUGAUAUGCCUUCUGCCACAUGUAUCAACUGCAACUUCUCAGAUGGUGAAAAAACAGCUACUGUUCAGAUCACCGGAGGUGGCGACAACCUCUCAAACCACCCUGGUGCAUCGGAUCCAACAGCCGCUGCAGAGCAGCCCACUUCUGACGGAAGCAAUGCAGAGGAACGACUGGUUCCAGCAGCAGGAAAUGCACUAAAAAGCACGCACGGAUUAGUUGCUUAAGUGAUGGAACUGAAGACCCUAAUAUUUACUUGAACCAUCUUUGACGUUAUGAUAUUUUUUCUUCAAGUUUUAUGACUUUUCUACCAUGUUUAGUUUACUCCAUCAAGUUUAAUUAUGAUAUAUGAACCAUGUUCGCUUCUUCUUCCAUAAAUAAUAUACAUCUUUUAUUCC
Molecule: long non-coding RNA, 996 nt
Organism: Brassica oleracea var. oleracea
Lineage: Eukaryota; Viridiplantae; Streptophyta; Magnoliopsida; Brassicales; Brassicaceae
Exons: 3
Source: RefSeq, a predicted model, not a curated record